CGGGGUGAGUAAUGUAUGGGGAUCUGCCUGAUGGGGGGGGAUAACUACUGGAAACGGUAGCUAAUACCGCAUAAUGUCUACGGACCAAAGCGGGGGACCUCCGGGCCUCGCGCCAUCAGAUGAACCCAUAUGGGAUUAGCUAGUAGGUGGGGUAACGGCUCACCUAGGCGACGAUCCCUAGCUGGUCUGAGAGGAUGACCAGCCACACUGGAACUGAGACACGGUCCAG
Molecule: ribosomal RNA, 229 nt
Filed under: uncultured bacterium
Lineage: Bacteria
Description: partial 16S ribosomal RNA
Rfam family: Bacterial small subunit ribosomal RNA
Source: RNAcentral